UGAGUGCUUAUAAUGUCCAGGUACUGUU
RNAcentral lists this non-coding RNA (28 nucleotides) under Mus musculus (house mouse). Lineage: Eukaryota; Metazoa; Chordata; Mammalia; Rodentia; Muridae. The record is from RNAcentral.